UACAGAGGGGGCAAGCGUUAUUCGGAAUUAUUGGGCGUAAAGAGCGUGUAGGCGGCCAUGUAGGUCCGGUGUGAAAACUCGAGGCUUAACCUCGAGAUGUCAUCGGAAACCAUUUGGCUAGAGUCCGGAAGAGGAGAGUGGAAUUCCUGGUGUAGCGGUGAAAUGCGCAGAUAUCAGGAGGAACACCAGCGGCGAAGGCGGCGCUCUGGGCUGGAACUGACGCUGAGGAGCGAAAGCGUGGGGAGCGAACAGG
RNAcentral lists this ribosomal RNA (253 nucleotides) under uncultured bacterium. RNAcentral describes it as "partial 16S ribosomal RNA". It matches the Rfam family "Bacterial small subunit ribosomal RNA", at positions 524 to 776 of the family's 1533-position model. The record is from RNAcentral.